This 372-nucleotide long non-coding RNA is filed under the name Rattus norvegicus (Norway rat). RNAcentral's name for it is "long non-coding RNA NONRATT016826". The record is from RNAcentral. Lineage: Eukaryota; Metazoa; Chordata; Mammalia; Rodentia; Muridae.
AGGGUUAACCUCCUCCUUAGCUUCCUCCAGCUUUUCCCUAAUCCAACCACAGGGGUCAGCAGCUUCUGUCCAUUGGUUGGGUGUAAAUAUCUGCAGUUGACUCUUUCAGCUGCUUGUUGGGUCUUUUGGAGGACAGCCAUGGUAGGUCACAGGACAGCUUUUAAGAAUCAAAUCUGUCUUCCAUAUAGGUCUCAAGAAUCAGGCUUAGGUUGUCCUGCCUUAAGCCAUCUGGGUGGCCUGACCUUACACUUAUUUUUGAUCACUAAUUAACCAACUCUGGCACAACCAGUGAUUAAGAACCAAUCACUGCUUUAAAGAUAGCCAAGGGGCACGGUGGUUCACAUUCUGUGAGCAAUCAAUGACAAAAGAAAA